GUGCCAGCAGCCGCGGUAAUACAGAGGGUGCAAGCGUUGCUCGGAAUUAUUGGGCGUAAAGGGCAGGUAGGUGGUCUUAUUUGUCUAGGGUGAAAUCCCUGAGCUUAACUCAGGAAGUGCCCUAGAAACGGUAAGACUGGAGUACUGGAGAGGGUCGUGGAAUUCCCGGUGUAGCGGUGAAAUGCGUAGAGAUCGGGAGGAACACCAGAGGCGAAGGCGGCGACCUGGACAGUGACUGACACUCAACUGCGAAAGCGUGGGGAGCAAACAGGAUUAGAUACCCCGGUAGUCC
RNAcentral lists this ribosomal RNA (292 nucleotides) under uncultured bacterium. RNAcentral's name for it is "partial 16S ribosomal RNA". It matches the Rfam family "Bacterial small subunit ribosomal RNA", at positions 505 to 796 of the family's 1533-position model. The record is from RNAcentral.